UAACGCGUGAGGAACCUGCCUUUCAGAGGGGGACAACAGUUGGAAACGACUGCUAAUACCGCAUAAUGCAUAGGUAUCGCAUGGUACAGAUGCCAAAGAUUUAUCGCUGAGAGAUGGCCUCGCGUCUGAUUAGCUAGUUGGUAGGGUAACGGCCUACCAAGGCGACGAUCAGUAGCCGGACUGAGAGGUUGGCCGGCCACAUUGGGACUGAGAUACGGCCCAGACUCCUACGGAAGGCAGCAG
This 243-nucleotide ribosomal RNA is filed under the name uncultured bacterium. RNAcentral describes it as "partial 16S ribosomal RNA". It matches the Rfam family "Bacterial small subunit ribosomal RNA", at positions 111 to 354 of the family's 1533-position model. The record is from RNAcentral.